ACGGUAGCAGGUCUUCGGAUGCUGACGAGUGGCGGACGGGUGAGUAACGCGUAGGAAUCUGCCUAUUAGUGGGGGACAACGUGUGGAAACGCACGCUAAUACCGCAUACGCCCUACGGGGGAAAGGAGGGGAUCUUCGGACCUUUCGCUAAUAGAUGAGCCUGCGUAGGAUUAGCUAGUUGGUAGGGUAAAGGCCUACCAAGGCGACGAUCCUUAGCUGUUCUGAGAGGAAGAUCAGCCACACUGGGACUGAGACACGGCCCAGACUCCUACGGGAGGCAGCAGUGGGGAAUAUUGGACAAUGGGCGAAAGCCUGAUCCAGCAAUACCGCGUGUGUGAAGAAGGCCUUAGGGUUGUAAAGCACUUUCAAUUGGGAGGAAAAAACAAGGGUCAAUACCCCUUGUCUUGACAUUACCUUUAGAAGAAGCACCGGCUAACUCCGUGCCAGCAGCCGCGGUAAUACGGAGGGUGCGAGCGUUAAUCGGAAUUACUGGGCGUAAAGAGUGCGUAGGCGGCUCGUUAAGUCAGAUGUGAAAGCCCUGGGCUCAACCUGGGAACUGCAUUUGAAACUGGCGAGCUAGAGUUGAGUAGAGGUAAGUGGAAUUUCAGGUGUAGCGGUGAAAUGCGUAGAUAUCUGAAGGAACACCAGUGGCGAAGGCGACUUACUGGACUCAAACUGACGCUGAGGUACGAAAGCGUGGGUAGCAAACAGGAUUAGAUACCCUGGUAGUCCACGCCGUAAACGAUGUCAACUAGCCGUUGGUCCUAUAUACAGGAUUAGUGGCGCAGCUAACGCAUUAAGUUGACCGCCUGGGGA
RNAcentral lists this ribosomal RNA (816 nucleotides) under uncultured organism. Its description in RNAcentral is "bacterial SSU rRNA". It matches the Rfam family "Bacterial small subunit ribosomal RNA", at positions 66 to 879 of the family's 1533-position model. The record is from RNAcentral.